GGGACAAGGGGAGGGGGAGACACUAUGGGACAAGGGGAGGGGAGGAGACACUAUGGGACAAAGGGAGGGGGACACUAUGGGAGAAAGGGAGGGGAGACACUAUGGGACAAGGGGAGGGGGAGACACUAUGGGACAAGGGGAGGGGGGACACUAUGGGACAAGGGGAGGGGGAGACACUAUGGGACAAGGGCAGGGGGGGACACUAUGGGAGGGAAAGUGCACUAUGGGACAAUGGGCGGGGGGGACACUAUGGGAUCAGAACACUAAUGGACAAGGGGAGGAGGGGUUAAA
This is a non-coding RNA of Pelobates cultripes (western spadefoot toad), 291 nucleotides long. NCBI's taxonomy places the organism in Eukaryota, Metazoa, Chordata, Amphibia, Anura, Pelobatidae. The record is from the annotation of a GenBank genome assembly.